UUAGUGUUGUGAUAAGAAUAACCCGGCUGCUAUGCGCUAGACGAAGACACUGAGAAAGAAGUGCAGGGCACCGAGGUCGUUGAGUGAGAACUCAUGAUGCAGUGAGUCGAUGACGCGACUGUGAUGUUUGCAACCUUGGCCUUGUUAACCAGGUUGACCAGAGACAUUUCUUUUUCUCUUUGACUGUUUGACUGAAUUAUGUUAUUCCUGACACUGUUUCACCUCAACCUUGCUUCUCACCUAGCUGGCUUCUCCGCCCGUGAUGCUUCGGUCUUGUCGUUUGGUGGGAGAGGCAUCCUCCUCCUCCUCCUCCUUUUCCUCCUCCUCCUUCCUCUUCUUCUUCUUCUUCUUCUUCUAAAUAGCAACCUUCCUUUGAGUUUCGGACUGAAAAGGCCAGCCGUGAGGAGGAUCUCGAAGUCGCAACGCUUUGGGUUCGACAGCGGCGAGGGAGGAGAAGAUCAGGUCUAGGAUCGGGGGUGUCUGAGAGUCGUAUUUUCUGCUUUUAUCAGUAUCUCUGUAUUACCCCCUUUUGUGAGUGUAAGGCUUGUAUUCUGACUGUAUUUGUGUUUUGCAAACUGUUGGGUGGUAUUUGUAUUCUGUAGGGCUGGUAAAGCCCGUACUUGUUAUAUUUCAGUUCCCAGUAUCCUAUUCGUGCU
Long non-coding RNA from Dioscorea cayenensis subsp. rotundata (Guinea yam), 656 nucleotides. RefSeq lists it as uncharacterized. The record is from RefSeq and is a predicted model, not a curated record. Lineage: Eukaryota; Viridiplantae; Streptophyta; Magnoliopsida; Dioscoreales; Dioscoreaceae. The transcript is spliced from 2 exons.